RNAcentral lists this ribosomal RNA (678 nucleotides) under Streptomyces sp. CA_LC_13. RNAcentral describes it as "bacterial SSU rRNA". It matches the Rfam family "Bacterial small subunit ribosomal RNA", at positions 105 to 797 of the family's 1533-position model. Lineage: Bacteria; Bacillati; Actinomycetota; Actinomycetes; Kitasatosporales; Streptomycetaceae. The record is from RNAcentral.
GGUGAGUAACACGUGGGCAAUCUGCCCUUCACUCUGGGACAAGCCCUGGAAACGGGGUCUAAUACCGGAUAACACUGCCACGGGCAUCUGUGGUGGUUAAAAGCUCCGGCGGUGAAGGAUGAGCCCGCGGCCUAUCAGCUUGUUGGUGAGGUAAUGGCUCACCAAGGCGACGACGGGUAGCCGGCCUGAGAGGGCGACCGGCCACACUGGGACUGAGACACGGCCCAGACUCCUACGGGAGGCAGCAGUGGGGAAUAUUGCACAAUGGGCGAAAGCCUGAUGCAGCGACGCCGCGUGAGGGAUGACGGCCUUCGGGUUGUAAACCUCUUUCAGCAGGGAAGAAGCGAAAGUGACGGUACCUGCAGAAGAAGCGCCGGCUAACUACGUGCCAGCAGCCGCGGUAAUACGUAGGGCGCAAGCGUUGUCCGGAAUUAUUGGGCGUAAAGAGCUCGUAGGCGGCUUGUCACGUCGGGUGUGAAAGCCCGGGGCUUAACCCCGGGUCUGCAUUCGAUACGGGCUAGCUAGAGUGUGGUAGGGGAGAUCGGAAUUCCUGGUGUAGCGGUGAAAUGCGCAGAUAUCAGGAGGAACACCGGUGGCGAAGGCGGAUCUCUGGGCCAUUACUGACGCUGAGGAGCGAAAGCGUGGGGAGCGAACAGGAUUAGAUACCCUGGUAGUCCA